Molecule: non-coding RNA, 186 nt
Organism: Rattus norvegicus (Norway rat)
Lineage: Eukaryota; Metazoa; Chordata; Mammalia; Rodentia; Muridae
Product: Nuclear RNase P
Source: Ensembl
GGCCUCCUAUGGCCCUAACCAGGUUCUCACCGAGUAGGGAGGUGAGUUUCCAGAGAGCAGGGCUCCACACCUAGGCAGACUGGGCAAGAGAGGCUCCAAGUAGAGAGAUUAAAUCCCUCACCAGAGCUUAGAACAAAAUGAUGACUCAUUUUGCUCAGUGAAUGGCUACCCUUCUUGCCAGGAGAA